This is a non-coding RNA of Rattus norvegicus (Norway rat), 4380 nucleotides long. Lineage: Eukaryota; Metazoa; Chordata; Mammalia; Rodentia; Muridae. The record is from RefSeq and is a predicted model, not a curated record.
AGGGGCGUGGCUUAGCAGCUGGGUGGGGCUCUCUUGUGACGUCACUACAUACAUACAUACACCUAGGUGGUACAGAAGAAAUAAGGAAGCAGUCCCUUCAGUGCUGGUCUGGUCCCCAUUUUAGGUUAAAGACGGCUUUUCAGACAGACCCAUGAGAACACACAUCCCCAAGAAAUCCAGGACUUAGCUUGCUACUUAGAUCUUGGUGGAGAGUUUCCAACUUCUACCUCCAUAGAGGCUGUUCUGCUCAAGGUGAGUUGAGAUCGCAGUGGGGAAAGCAAAUGAAUUUCAGAGCUGGUGAAGAAGAAACAGAAAGGUCCCAGGUUCAAUUGUACUCCUGCCAUCCUACCGAGAACCAUGAGGCACAGAGAGCCAUUUGUGGAGAAGCACAUCACAGGCUAGGCAAGGUUUGGUCUGGGGGUCUGAGGGUUGGCUCUUAUAUCAUACCCCCUGGGCUGGACAGAGUAAGGUUGUACAUCAAUCCCUUUUGAGCUCUUUCUGCCCCAGUGGAAAUGAGCCAGCCAAAGGCAGCUUAGAGACCAGUGAACUCACCCCUGACCCUUAGCAGGUUCAGAGAAAAACACCCAUCCCAUUAAGAACCAUCUGUUAGCUCCGUGUGCUCACUGUCUCUUUACUUUGGCUUCUGCUGUCUAAUUUUGGUGUGGAAACAGAAUGGACUUUUGCCUGAGCUGCUUCAAGUAAAGCCACAGAGGAAGAGCCUGGUAGAUCUGUUCCUUCCACACCUUGGCUUGUCCUUUGGGAUUCAGCUUUUGUGCCUUUUAUUUCUGGGAGAUAGAAGGAAAUAGCUUCUGAUAGUUAUUGGAGAAGGGUGAGGGCAAGAGGGGGGGAGAAAGAGAUUAAUUUCCACAGGUGGGUGGAUGGCAUGGUAGUCCUUAAUUACACUGUAGUUCAGGGGUUUAAGGCCUUUUCUCUCACUGGCUCUGUUCUUAGAAAGGACAAGUUCAGAGUCUUACUGUUGUGACAGGCAUAUCCCCAGUUGGAUCCUCUCUGACCUCUGAACUCUACUGAUUUUCAUUAGGACUCCAACAGGCAUCUUCACAGGGAUGGAUCUACCCAGCAAGUUAGGACUUGGAGUUUAUUAAGAGGGAGAAUAGAAAAGUUUCAGACAGUCCUUACACAUGGGUGGUGACUAAGUUUGAGAUCCUCUCUGAAAUCUAAGUUUUUCCAGAUGUUGACUUCAGCUGGGGAGAGGGGACCUUCUAUUCUGCUCACGUGUACGUCCUGUCUGUGUACUGCUGCUGCUGUUUUUGUUCAAACAUGUCAUGGCCAUUGGGGGAGAGGCUAGGGAAGGUGAAAACAGGUCAGGGUCAGAGCCUUCUGAGCCCAGAACAUAUCCAAUAUCUUAGGUAGACAAUCUAGAGAGACCGGAGACCCAGAACAAAUUGUGGUUUUCUGAGAGGAGGGGCUUUCACUCCGUUCACUUCAAUCGCGAAAUGCUGGAAAUAUUUUGGAACAUGGGUUUUACAGAUAUUGUGUCCCACCCUCCCCUUCUUUUUUCCUGCCUGGCUCCCCUUCCAUCUUUUCUACAGAAUUCCCUCUGUCUUUCCACAAACAUCUAGUAACAUAGACAUUGAACAGUUAAAAGGUAGGGGCUCAAUAUCUAUGGGAGACCUUUUGUAAAUCCUUGUCCUGCUUAUUUUAGGGUCUUCUUUGUCUAAAGAAAUGUACCUAAACAGUGGAAGGGACAAGGCUGUCUGACUCUUGCUGCUCUCAAGGCUAAAAACUGCCCAUGGCUCCACAAUGUUUCUUACUUGGCUUAAAAACAUGUCCAGCCUUGACUCUACACUCUGCCUUUUCUCUCACAUGUAUGUUGGAACAUAGUAGAAGAAACAUGAAAGGAAAGAGCUGGGAAAAGUGGUCUUUCUGGUAGAGGCAGGCAAUAAAUCUGUUGGUCCUCCAGGGGAAUAAAUAUCUGAUUUAUUUGGACUUCACUUUGCUUUCCCAGAAGCCAUCACUAAUAAUAACCUGCAUGGUAUGGUUAUACACAAAGCAAAGCCAAAUUUCAUGCUUCAGAAGGUCCCAGAUAACAUUGACCACUUUCCUGCCCCCACUAACCUUAGUCUGCAUCUAAAGAAUAUACCAGUUGUCAGAAUUCCUUGGCAAUCUUUAGAUUGAGGCAAAAUUCAGGCCACAUAUUAGGCUGUCAGAAAGGCAUGUUUUAAAUUUCAUAUGUGUGUUACAUUACCUACACAUGUGACUGAGGAAUGAAUGUUUUAAUCCAUUUAUCUACUGGAGCAGGGACAUUUGAGUUGGGGGGGGUUUCUAGAGAACAUAGCGAAUAGACCCAGGAUGAAGUUAACUUAGGCAAAGUCACAAAUUAUAAGCAAAGUCAGACACUAUGCCUAGAAUUGCUCAUCCCCGUUCAGGCUUCCUGCCGCGGGCCACGAUGCACAGUUGAACUUUCUUUUCUUUGUUCUUUCUCCUCAUACCCCAUGGAUUUCCCUACUUCUUUAUUCUCUUUAUGUUCCAAGAACAAUGUGCUGGGUUUCUUGCCUUCUAGAAUUCAUUCCACCACCCAAGGGACAUCAUUUACUAUGAGAAUUACCCCCACCCCCAAAUAUUUGCCACUAAGAAGGGAAAAGAUUCAGAGGUUCCCCCAUGUUGAGACAAAUACCUUCAUAAUUGAUAUAAAGCACUGUGACCCCCAGGCUGGUGCUGGGGCAUCAGGCAGAGGAGGUAACAAGUGGUUACACAACGCUUAACAGCAAGGAUAUAUUCUAAGAAGCAUCCUUAAGGGACCAAAAAAUAUCUUUAUCACCAUUACUACUGUAUUUUUUUUUAAAAAAAUCAUUAUAAAACAUUCUGACCAGGCUUGGCUCAAGGGAUGUCAGAGCUCAGUUUUGUUCUGAGGGACACAAGAGUAUCUGUUUGCUUGUGGCUACAGAACGAUGGAACUGACACUGUCACUACCCAUGUUCUGGUAGAAUUGUCAUAUGUGACAAUCUCAGAACGAUAUGAAAAAGAACAGAGUAACUUUCCUGUCCUUUAUGGUUGGAGGAUUCAGCAGUAAGCAGAGGCGUGGAGUGCUUACAUUUUACCCAUGCCCCUCAUGUCCCCGUGUUGGGAAAGCACAUGUAACUUGCCUAGAAAAAGUUUAGGUUUUGAGGUAAGGACCAGAACCAUACCCAGUUGUAUUGGAAUGCUGCAGUAGCUAGACUUUAUUGUCAAGAAGCUCUGGACACAGAGCAGCCUUAUUCUCAUCAGAGUAUGGAAAUGUGAAGGGUAAUGGUACAAGAUGGCCUGGGUUCUGUUGGGGACUUUGUCGCAAGCAGAAAUGUGUUUCCUCCAGAGUGCACUCUUCCACAAUGGUAUAGGGACAUUUCCUUCAUGCUGUAAUGAAGCAAAGAAGAAGAAAAAACACUGAGCUUAAAACAGUUUCCUGAUUAAAGUAGGAGAAUCUAAAAACCUCUUCAGGUGACAUGCAGGUGCUCUUGGCCUGUCUUAGUUGUCACUCUCUGUACCAUCUGCUCCAGGAAGUGUCUGCCUCUCAAAGCCAAUUGUAUUUAUUCAUGGUAUAAGACAAGUCCACUGGCUUUUUGUUUAAAAAAAAUAUCCAGUGACACCAGCAGCAUGAACCUAGGGUUCCUCUGAGUCCUGGGCUCUUUGUGAUGCAUACAGCCCUUGCCUCCGGCACCUGCCCAUCUCCUUGCUCAGCCCAGGCACUUUGUAGACAUGUAUGCAUGUAGUGUACACAUCACUCUCUCUCUUUCUUCCUGCCCCUUGCACUUCUUCCCCCCUUUCUGCUCUUCCGGGGGUUAAAACCCAAGGUUGCCAAGAAUGAAUGACAAGAGAAGUGUGGAGCUCCUGCCUUUGUCUUCCUUUGUAAAGAAAUUCUAGACAACGCUUUCAAGCCACCCAAGCAAGCUUUCGUGCUGACUUUCGGCCAUUGUGACAGUGCCUCUUCAGUCACCAGGCCCUCUCUGGGAGAGUCCGUGUCACAGUCACUUAUAAAGGGAGGAUGGCUGGGCUGCUUUGGACUGAUGGACUUGGGGUGAGGGAAAGGGAUGUCGGGAAGAGCAGCCAUUGAACAUUAUUUCAACUGGAACCUCACUGCUGACCAGAGUUUGGGACCUCGAGAAGAUGGCAAAAGUCUGUACAUGUUGGUGUCCAAAAUGUUACAUGAAGGGUUUCCCAAAGAGAUACAAAGCAAAGAAAUCAUGCCAGAAAAGGAAGAAAAGUGAGGUACACAUUCUUUGGCUGAAGAAGCUGCUUGAUACCAUGAAGUACCAAGUUACAUUUGUUCCCGUUGAUUCAAAGAACACUGGUUCCCGCUGCAAGCCCAAGACCACCAUAAUCAUCAUUGAGCUUGCUACUCCACCCCAGGGUCUCUAAAUAAAACCUCCUCUUUCUUGGAAAAAA